GAUUUACGAGGAAGUUGAACCGAUAAGGUGAAACGGAGAGAGCCGACAUUUCUGGCCUGUAUUAAGCCGGGUGGCUGUUCAUCGCUGAUUAGUCGGUCCUGCUCUUUGGCUGGCUGGUCAGUGGUUGGGCGGUUUUACCGGUGCAUAACCUGUGCAGGUGAAUGUGCGCCGAAGCUCGCACCAUGCAUCGGCUGGAUAGUCUUUGAGGUCUCCCUUCGGGCGAGAAACCCAAGCUUCUGGAAGGCUGUUUGCUGUGCGUAUAGCUUGGUCCACGGUUUUCGGUUGAGUCGGCAGAUGGUUCUUCCUGGGAUUAUGGUCUCAUGCGACUGUGUCUCAUUGGGUUCUGGCUGUCGGUAAGGCCUUCGUGGCAUUCUUCGGUGUAAAAGUCGGUCAUCUCUCCACCCGUCUUGAAACACGGACCAAGGAGUUUAACGAGUGCGCGAGUCAUUGAGUGUGCAAACGCAAAGGCGCAAUGAAAGUAAAGGCUUCGCUUGACGAUCUUAUAUGCGAUCUCGGUGGUUUCAGCCAUUGAGAGCAGCAUAGCCCCGUCCAGACUCGCUUGCAAUGGGGCGGAGGAAGAGCGUACUCGCUGAGACCCGAAGAUGGUGAACUAUGCCUGAACAGGCCCAAAGCCAUAGGAAACUCUGGUGAAGCCAGGAGCGGUUCUGACGUGCAAAUCGGUCAUCUGACUUGAGUACAGGGGCGAAAGACUAAUCGAACCAUCUAGUAGCUGGUUUUCCUUCGCAACCUAGUACGAUCGUGUACAAGUAGUCCCUGGACCGGGAAGA
This 788-nucleotide ribosomal RNA is filed under the name Pterotylenchus sp. RH-2018. RNAcentral's name for it is "partial 28S ribosomal RNA". It matches the Rfam family "Eukaryotic large subunit ribosomal RNA", at positions 386 to 1406 of the family's 3401-position model. The record is from RNAcentral. Lineage: Eukaryota; Metazoa; Nematoda; Chromadorea; Rhabditida; Anguinidae.